Molecule: ribosomal RNA, 468 nt
Filed under: uncultured bacterium
Lineage: Bacteria
Description: partial 16S ribosomal RNA
Rfam family: Bacterial small subunit ribosomal RNA
Source: RNAcentral
GACGAACGCUGGCGGCGUGCUUAACACAUGCAAGUCGAACGGAAAGGCCCUGCUUUUGUGGGGUGCUCGAUUGGCGAACGCGUGAGUAACACGUGUGUAACCUGCCCUUGACUUUGGGAUAACUUCAGGAAACUGGGGCUAAUACCCGAUAGGAUCUCCUGCUGCAUGGUGGGGGUUGGAAAGUUUCGGCGGUUGGGGAUGGACUCGCUGCUUAUCAGCUUGUUGGUGGGGUAGUGACUGACCAAGGCUUUGACGGGUAGCCGGCAUGAGAGCGUGACCGGGGACAUUGCGACUGAGAUACGGACCAGAGUGCAAGGGGAGGCAGCAGUGGGGAAUAUUGCACAGCGGGAGGAAGCGUGUUGUGGAAACGCUGCGUGCGUGAUGCCGGCCUUCGGGUUGUAAACAGCUUUGGACUGUGACGAAGCGAGAGUGACGGUAAUGAGUAAAGAAGCACCGGCUAACUACGUG